This 305-nucleotide ribosomal RNA is filed under the name uncultured bacterium. RNAcentral's name for it is "bacterial SSU rRNA". It matches the Rfam family "Bacterial small subunit ribosomal RNA", at positions 336 to 639 of the family's 1533-position model. The record is from RNAcentral.
UUCCUACGGGAGGCAGCAGUGAGGAAUAUUGGUCAAUGGCCGGAAGGCUGAACCAGCCAAGCCGCGUGAAGGACGAAGGUGCCAAGCAUUGUAAACUUCUUUUGUCAAGGGACAAAAUCAGGCUCGAGAGCCUGACCGAGGGUACUUGAAGAAAAAGCAUCGGCUAACUCCGUGCCAGCAGCCGCGGUAAUACGGAGGAUGCGAGCGUUAUCCGGAUUUAUUGGGUUUAAAGGGUGCGUAGGCGGAAGGUUAAGUCAGCGGUCAAAUGUCGGUGCUCAACCCCGGCCUGCCGUUGAAACUGGUCU